UUUCAGAGGAAUGCAAGUUCAUAUGUCGCAGCAAGUUCCAUUGAAGAAAGCAGACCCUUGAUUCCUAUUACCCUAAUAAAUCCUAGCCGUCAAAAACUAAAACCCUAACUACUUAAACUCAGCAGCUUCGCUCAAAUCUCUUUUCUUCUUUCGCUUCUCUCACUCUCACCAGUUGCCUCCGCCACUGCUCAGUACUCACCACCUACAUCACCACCUCUCCAUCGAGAGCACUACCACCUCUAAAAGACUGAGAGGAGCAGCAGGAGUUCUUCAUCUGUAUAGUUGCGUUAAUACUUUGAGGAGCAGUUAACAGACGUUUGUUCUCAAACCUUAUUUCCUCAAAAGGGAGCGCAGAAAAGCAUGGGAUAAUUUGGAAAAAUCUUUUAGCCGGUUUAUUUAUUCAUGUGUUCCCCAAGACUCAUCCCUGCUGCUUUUGGUUUGCACAGUUUACAGACGUUUGUUCUCAAACCUUAUUUCCUCAAAAGGGAGCGCAGAAAAGCAUAGGAUAAUUUGGAAAAAUCUUCA
Long non-coding RNA from Papaver somniferum (opium poppy), 525 nucleotides. RefSeq lists it as uncharacterized. The record is from RefSeq and is a predicted model, not a curated record. NCBI's taxonomy places the organism in Eukaryota, Viridiplantae, Streptophyta, Magnoliopsida, Ranunculales, Papaveraceae. The transcript has 3 exons.